This 249-nucleotide unclassified non-coding RNA is filed under the name air metagenome. Its description in RNAcentral is "partial contains small subunit ribosomal RNA, internal transcribed spacer 1, and 5.8S ribosomal RNA". The stretch from base 1 to 46 matches the Rfam family "Eukaryotic small subunit ribosomal RNA", at positions 1786 to 1831 of the family's 1831-position model. The record is from RNAcentral.
AAGUCGUAACAAGGUUUCCGUAGGUGAACCUGCGGAAGGAUCAUUACUGAGCUCCCGCCCCCUUAGGGGUGGACCUCUCGCCCGUGCGUCUGAUUACUUUGUUGCUUUGGUGGGCCCGCUGGGUGUCCCGGCCGCCGGCAGUCGCUGGCCCGUCGCCCACCAGAGGCCUAAAACACUUGCAUUUUAGUGGCACGUCUGAGUCUAUCUUAUAAUAAGCCAAAACUUUCAACAACGGAUCUCUUGGUUCUG